GCCCAGGGAUGAGAAUCGAACCCACAAUGUCCCGCUUACCAGUCAGAUACCAUGUCCACUAGGCUACCCUGGA
RNAcentral lists this transfer RNA (73 nucleotides) under Cordylochernes scorpioides. Its description in RNAcentral is "tRNA-Thr". The record is from RNAcentral. Lineage: Eukaryota; Metazoa; Arthropoda; Arachnida; Pseudoscorpiones; Chernetidae.